Molecule: small nuclear RNA, 107 nt
Organism: Suncus etruscus (white-toothed pygmy shrew)
Lineage: Eukaryota; Metazoa; Chordata; Mammalia; Eulipotyphla; Soricidae
Source: RefSeq, a predicted model, not a curated record
GUGCUUGCUUCAGCAGUACAUAUACUAAAAUUGGAAUGAUACAGAGGAGACUAGCAUGGCCCCUGCGUUAGGAUGACAUGCAAAUUCGUGAAGCAUUCCAUAUUGAA